UGGGUAACCUGCCCAAGAGAUCGGGAUAACACCUGGAAACAGAUGCUAAUACCGGAUAACAACAGAUGAUGCCUAUCAACUGUUUAAAAGAUGGUUCUGCUAUCACUCUUGGAUGGACCUGCGGUGCAUUAGCUAGUUGGUAGGGUAACGGCCUACCAAGGCGAUGAUGCAUAGCCGAGUUGAGAGACUGAUCGGCCACAUUGGGACUUAGACACGGCCCAAACUCCUACGGGAGGCAGCAGGC
This 244-nucleotide ribosomal RNA is filed under the name uncultured Lactobacillus sp. RNAcentral describes it as "partial 16S ribosomal RNA". It matches the Rfam family "Bacterial small subunit ribosomal RNA", at positions 118 to 354 of the family's 1533-position model. The record is from RNAcentral. Lineage: Bacteria; Bacillati; Bacillota; Bacilli; Lactobacillales; Lactobacillaceae.